ACAAAUACGACAAGUACGACAUCGACAAACACAAUGACCUCAACAUCUCCGGCGACGAUGCUUUUUCCCGUCUUUUUGCCGCCGUCGAGGCCGACCUCAAUCAAGCCCUCCAGAGAUCGGACGCUGUGGCAACAGAGAAAAAUAGGGCAAUAGUUGUCGCCAUUAAUGCUGAGAUACAUAGAACGAAGACUCGCUUGCUUGAGGAAUUUCCCAAAUUGCAAAGAUUAGCGCUUAAAAAGGUCUUUUCCUAGUCUGUUAUGUUUAUAUAUAUAUAUAUUAAUUGUUAUGUUUUGUUCUUAUUGUUUUCUGAUACCUUACCUUCUGUUUGGUUGCCCAGAAAAUUGAAGAAAGUAAAAUUAUUUGAUUUAUUUUUACAUUGGUUUUGAAAAAAAAAAAAAAACAUUGAUGAAAUUGGGGACAAUAGAAGGACAAUACGAAAGUAUACAAACCAGUGGUGACAGUGAGUGAUUGAAGAUUCCGGCGGUGUGUGUCAGAUUCCGGCAAUAGGGUAAAUCACGUUCCUCUCCGCCGGGCAAUUGGGUAAAUCCGGUAUGUGGAGAUGAGUAAAUCACGUUCCUCUCCGCCGGACUCCAGGAAUUCUAGAACGCCGUUCUGCCUUUCAACAGGUUCCAGCGAGUUUGAGGUCGUAGUGGAGAGAUUUCAUCGCCGGGACGAGGUGGGCGAUGAGGCUCUUGUCUGCGUGGCCAUGAUUUCGUUGCCGACGGCGAUUCAGUUGAUUUUGGUUUUGGGUAGAAAAGGGAGAUCGCGGUGGAGAGGACAGCGAAGAGUCGGUGAGAACAGAUCCGGCGGAGACAAGAAGGAUGACAGAUAGAUGAUAGCAGAGAGCCGGCGAGACAGAUCCGGCAGUUGGAGAUGGCGGCUGUGAGACAGAUCCGGCAGCGGCAAGACUGAUCUGUGAAUCUGUGAUGAAGAAAAGGAAACACACACAGGGGAGGAGAGAGAAACAAGGAGAGAGAAACAAAACGGGUUAGUUAAAUGGGUAUAACCCAUGUUUUAUUUUUUUAAUGGAAUGAAGAUGUGGCAUAUUUUUAUUGGGCCAA
Long non-coding RNA from Cornus florida, 1061 nucleotides. RefSeq lists it as uncharacterized. The record is from RefSeq and is a predicted model, not a curated record. The transcript is spliced from 2 exons. Lineage: Eukaryota; Viridiplantae; Streptophyta; Magnoliopsida; Cornales; Cornaceae.